Molecule: transfer RNA, 71 nt
Filed under: Merops nubicus (carmine bee-eater)
Lineage: Eukaryota; Metazoa; Chordata; Aves; Coraciiformes; Meropidae
Rfam family: tRNA
About the family: Transfer RNA (tRNA) molecules are approximately 80 nucleotides in length. Their secondary structure includes four short double-helical elements and three loops (D, anti-codon, and T loops).
Source: Rfam by way of RNAcentral
GCAUUGGUGGUUCAGUGGUAGAAUUUUCGCCUGCCACGCGGGAGGCCCAGGUGCGAUUCUUGGCCAAUGCA